Homo sapiens (human) is the source of this 6728-nucleotide long non-coding RNA. RefSeq lists it as uncharacterized. The record is from RefSeq and is a predicted model, not a curated record. Lineage: Eukaryota; Metazoa; Chordata; Mammalia; Primates; Hominidae. The transcript is spliced from 2 exons.
UCCUUCCCCCCUCAAAAAAAUAAAAAAUAAAAAAAAAUUAACUCACUUAGCCUUCACAGCAUACUACCUUAUGAAGUAGACUCCAUUAUUUCCAGUCCCAUUUCACAGAUGAGGAUGAGAAAGUUUAGAGGGAUGAAAUAAGCUGGUGAGCAAGGAAAGAGAGGAGGGUCCAGGGUAGGGGAGAGGAAGGGGACCUGUCUUCCCUGAGCAAGAUCUCAGGGUGGGAGGGAGAGAAGGGAGGCUGAUGGCAGGAGGGGCUUAACAAUAACACAGCUAACAUUUAUUGAGCACUUGGUCUUGGGGAGGCACUGUUCUAAGGGGUUUACAUAUGUCACCUCACUAAUCUUCACGACUAUUAUCCUCAUUUCACAGACACAAAAACUCAGAUUGUGCACACUUAAGAGGUAGAACUGGAAUUCAAACCCAGGCAGUCUGGCUCCAAAGCCUACCCAGCUAACACUGUCAGCACCUUGAUCUUAUCAGCUAUAAUGUGUGAGGCUUAAGAGCUUGUUUUCCCCUCCAAACUAACUGCAGGAACUAAAUAGCUCCAGUUGAACUGGAUCAAGGAGACAAUUCAAGUGAAUUGAGAUUUUCCAUGUAAGAAACCGAGUCUGAAAAGUUCUAAUUACUGUCAACAGGGAAGACUGAGGCUCCAGCACAGCAGCCUCAGGCCAGAGGGCAUGGGCUGGGGGACCACUGUGCUGGUGGCCACACCGUGGUCUCUCAUCCCCACCCACCUGCCAGCCACUCUUCUACCUGGCAGGUGCAGGGGAGGGGUUGUGAAGGCUCACUCUAAAUGACACUCAUCCUCAGCCAGGCUGCUCUGCCAAGAGAUGCUCGGAAGGACAUGGAUAGUUCGGGGCAUGACCACACCACCCCUUCCAAUCCCUGGGGCACCAAGGCUUUGUUACCAGGCCACAGCUGAGUAAAUACUUCUCAGUGCUACUCUGUGAGGAGGGGGAAGGGAGUGAGGGACAGUGUGGGGGAAGGGAAGAAGGAGGCAAGACAUCUGACGACUUCACUCCCCAUGUAGCAGUUGGUAUCACAUGUCACAGAAAGAUUGCUACCCUACUAGGGCCAUGUUCCUGUCAAGCAAAGCCCCAGAAGAAGAGAAGGCUGUGUUAUUCAAUUUUAUCUCCUCUGGCAGCACUGUUGUUUUAUAUUAUAAAUGGAGGGAAAUGAUAAUUAGUUGACUGAAUGGGAAAUGACCUUACAAAAGGAAUAAGAGGCAAUGGCCUCGAAUGACACCUGUGGGGUAAAGUAUUUGGGCCAUUAUGAACACUACCCUUUGCCAGCUCAUUACUCCCCAGAGCAUCUUCAGUGUGUUCCAAUGGGGGCAGAAAGCCCCUUUAGUUUUUUUUUGGUUUUUUUUUUUUUGAGACAGAGUCUUGCUCUGUCGCCAGGCUGAAGAGCAGUGGCGCUAUCUCGGCUCACUGCAAACGCUGCCUCCCGAGUUCAAGCGAGUCUCCUACCUCAGCCUCCCGAGUACCUGGGACUACAGGUGUCUGCCACCAUGCCUGGCUAAUUUUUGUACUUUUAGUAGAGAUGGGGUUUCACCAUGUUGGCCAGGAUGGUCUCCAUCUCUUGACCUCGUGGUCCGCCCGCCUCGGCCUCCCAAAGUGCUGGGAUUAUAGGCGUGAGCCACCGCACCCGGCUGCCCCUUUAGUUUUAUAUUUUAUUAUGACUAAGCCAGACACCAAGCUAGAAAUGUAUUUAGUCUAUUUCUAUUUGGCAGUAUCUUUGUUCUAGGCAAAGUAUUAAAUCAGACACAGUAACAAUUUUAUGGCAACGUUUAAAAUGAACAAAAACAACUCUCCAGGAACUGUUUAUAUACAGCAGGUAAAGAUUUAAAGAAAUGCAGGCAUUUCUAACCAGGAUCUCAACAUUCUACCCAGGGUCAUGUAGGACAUACCAUGGCAAUCUGAUCAGGUUUUUAGGCUAACCAUGGCCAUCCUGAACCACCACUGGUGGCUUAAACCACAGGCCUGGUCUGAUAAGAAUCCCCUAUACUGUGUCGAACCCUUGGGGGUCUGUUCAUCACGAUGGGGCCAUUAGGGAUUGGAGGACCAAGGCAAGGCUUUGUUCUGGGGGAGGUCCUGUCUUAGAAAGUGUGAGGAUAUGAAACACAGGCUGCAUAUGGCGAGGGUGGGCAGCCGUAUGCAUUGUGGAAGGAGGCACCAGUGCUAGGAGAAAAGAAAGCCUCUCUAGUAGCAACGGGGCUAGCUACUCUGGCAUGGACACAGUUUCCUACCCAUUAUUGAGGAAAUGGAAGGCAGUUUUGGACACUAGAAUGUAGAGCAGGAUCUUGGCACCAUAAGCUCUCAAAGGCUCCGGCAGCCCAUCAAAGAAGUGACUCCAGCCUAGAAUUUGCACCACCACUCACGUGCUCAUGCAGCUCCACCAGGUGUUACCACUUCCAGUUUUUCUUUGGAAACAGGAGGACAGGGUGGGCCCUUUGAAACGGACAACUCAGGGCCAAGUUAUAAUUCUCCUCCAAGAAGCAGGUGUUGUUACAAACUCCUGCAACCCAUUCCUGUUCUUAAUUGAACAGAAAUGGUUAAACAGGCACAAGAGCUAAACUGGAGAAUAAACCUUAAUCCCUCCUAAUGGUGACUAAAGGCAAGAGAAAACAUCACACCCUCCCAAUGGUGAUAUACCUCACUCAACCUUUGAAAAAGAGGCAGAAUUUUAAAUUUAUUUCUGGGGGGUGUUUAAAGCCAGAAUGAAGGUUUUUAUGUUGUUUUAGGGGGGCAAAAGUUUACUACAGAGACACAUCAUGAUAGAGAAAAGAACUUGGUCUGACUUCGGCAAAGGAUUAUACCUAUCUGGGCACAAUUUUUCUAGGCCUCAGUUUUCUCACCUGUAAAAUAAGGAUGUUGUGAGCCACUGCUCCCGGCCUGAAAAAAAUGUUUUAAUAUAUAUACAUUUUAAAAAAUAGAAAUCUAGGUCUGGCGCAAUGGCUCAUGCUUGUAAUCCCGGCACUUUGGGAGGCCAAGACGGGAGAAUCGCUUGAACCCAGGAGUUCAAGACCAGCCUGGGCAACAUAGUGAGACCUCAUCUCCACAAAAAAUAAAAAUGAAAAAAUUAGCUGUGCAUGGUGGCACACGCCUGUAGUCCCAGCUACUCAAGAGACUGAGAUGGGAGGAUGGCUUGAACCUAGGAUGUUAAGGCUGCAAUGAGCCAUGAUUGCACCACUGCGCCCCAGCCUGGGUGACUGAGUGAGACCCUGUCUCAAAGAGAUAACAAAUGAAAAUCUUGUAAGGAAUCUCAAUAUUUAAUAUUUAUAAAAACAAAGCCUUUUUUAGCCAACUUUCUCUUCAACAGCUCUCACCCAGACGAGAAGUCGAGGAAAGAAGGCCUGAGGUGCUACCUUAAAACUCUAGAGCUCUACAAAGGGCAGUUAGGCCCUAAAACCUAAGUGGGUCUUACAUAGUGCAAUGGUUAAGAGUACAGGCUAAGGCUGGGCAUGGUGGCUCACACCUGUAAUCCCAGCACUUUGGGAGCCAGAGGCGGGCAGAUCACUUGGUCAGGAGUUCAAGACCAGCCUGGCCAACAUGGUGAAACCUCGUCUAUACUAAAAAUACAAAAAGUAGCUGGGCCUGGUGGCGCAUGCCUGUAAUCCCAGCUACUUAGGAGGCUGAAGCAGGAGAACUGCUUGAACCUGGGAGGUGGAGGUUGCAGUGAGCCAAGAUCACACCACUGCACUCCAGUCUGGGCAACAUGACACAGCGAGACUCCAUCUCAAAAAAAAAAUAAUAAUAAUAAUCAAGGCUCCUGAAUCAGCCGAUCUGGGUCCAAAUCCUGGUUCUUCUGCUAACUAGCCAUGUGACAUUAGGCGAGCCAAUUGAAAAUGACAGUGAAUAAUAGUAAUAAUGGUAUGAAUAAUGAUAAUGCUAAUCAUGAAUUUUUGAGAGGAUUAAAAAAUCUUUUUUUUUUUAAAGGAAGAGAUGGUAAAUUAAGGUGCUGGUACAUGGCAUAGAUAAGCAUCCAAUCAACAGUACCUGCUCUUGUUAUUACUUUUAUUACUUUCCUUCAUUUAAGGCACACAGACACAGGUGGGAUGGCACCUGCAUAACAAAAGGCACAAUUUAUCACAGUUCUCCUUCAGCUCCAGCCAGUGGGUGGCUGAAACGAUCUUAUUUCUUAUCUCAUGAUUAUUUUGUCAAGCCUUUGUUCUUUAUUGAUGAAUGAAUAACAGAGUUCCUGCCUGAAGGCAGGUGCGCCACUUUCCCAGACUGUCAGUGCACUGCCAAUCCUCUAUUGCCUCACUUUUAAUAGUGCUGAUGGCUCAUAUUUGCAGACAGUGUAGAAUUAUGCAAACCAUUUUCAUAUGCAUUAUCACUUUUGAUCCCCAUAAGAAUUUUGUGGGGCAGGGAAAAGAAAAUGGUAUUAAUUCCCAUUUUUAUAGACAUGGAAAAUGAGGCUCAAGCAAGGGACAAAAUUGCCGCAUAAGUGGUAGUUCCUGGAUCAGAUCAAGCCUUCUCAUUCAAAGGCUGGCCUUUCUCUGCUACACAGACUGGCUCCCUAUGAUGUCCUUUUCUUUUUGCUGUAAGUCUCUGGGAACCCAACCUGCUUUUCCUUCGUCUAUGGAUGAAAAACACCUGGCACAGUGAAUUCCCACAGUGAGAACCCAGUAAAUGUUAGCUGCAACUGGCUAUUAUUAUUUUGUUUAUUAUUUAAUUUUAUUCUUUUUUUUUUUUGAGAUAGGAUCUUGCUCUGUUGCCCAGGCUGGAGUGCGGUGGCGUCAUGUUGGCUCACUGCAACCUCCACCUCCUGGGCUCAAGCAAUCCCCCCCACCUCAGCUCCCCAAAUAGCUGUGACCACAGUCACACACCACCACGCCUGGCUAAUUUUUGUAUAUUUUGUAGAGACAAGGUUUCGCCAUAUUGCUCAGGCUGGUCUCAAACUCCUGAGCUCAAGUAAUCCACCUGCCUCGGUCUCCCAAAGUGCUGGGAUUACAGGCAUAAGCCACCGUGCUGGCCAUUAUUUUAAUUUUUUUAGAGAUAGGGUCUCGCUCUGUUACCCAGGCUGGAGUGCAGUGGUAUGAUCAUAGCUCGCUGCAGCCUGGAAUUCCUUGGGUUCAAGAGCUCUUCCUGCCUUAGCCUAGGCGGGAAGUAGUUAGACUACAGGCAUGCACCAUCAUGCCUGGCUAAUUUUUUCAUUUUUAUUUUUUCUAGAGACAGAGUCUUGAUAUGUUGCCCAGGUUGCUCUGGAAAUCCUGGCCUCAAAUGAUCCUUCUGCCUUGGCCUCCCGAAGUAUUGGGAUUAUAGGUGUGAGCUACCGCACCUGGCCAGUGACUAUUACUGUGAACAUUUAAAUCUCCCACUAGCUAUUCCAUCUCUUUCUAUCACUUUUUGUCCUAGGGUGGCUCCAGGGUCAGAUGUAGUCUGUCUGGCUUGUAACUUGCUUCCCCUCAAACUGACAGGCCCUUUCUAUUUUAAGUGACUUGCUACUGAUGCCUAUAAGAAAAUAGAGAAGAGACAACAAAAGUAAUAAACAGUUAAAGCCAUUAUAAGCCUGUAUCUGCAAUUUUAACAGGACUAGACACAGAUUAGGAAGAGAAAAGUAUAUUUCAUUUAUAUAUAUAAAAAAUACUUCCCACUUUUUUUUUUUUUUGAGACAGAGUCUUGCUCUGUCACCCGGGAUGGAAUACAGCGGUACAAUCUUAGCUCACUACAACCUCUGCCUCCUGGGUUCAAGCAAUUCUCAUGCCUCAGCCUCCCAUGUAGCUGGGAUUACAGGCACGUGCCACCGUGCCCGGCUAAUUUUUGUAUUUUUAGUAGAGACGGGGUUUUGCCAUCUUAGCCAGGCUGGUCUUGAACUCUUGACCUCAAGUGAUCUGCCAGCCUUGGCCUCCCAAAGUGCUGGGAUUACAGGCGUGAGCCACUGCUCCUGGCCCCACUACCUUUUUCUUUGCAAUUUAAAAUCAGGCUUAUCAUUAGGAUGAAAUUUUAUGUUAUUAGCAAAGCUGUCUGAUGAGAACUUAAGAGAGCAAGCCACAGAAAACAAAAAUGAAUAAAAGUUAUUAUACUUCCUCUGAGCUUUCCACUGUCCAAAGCAGCCACAGAAUAAAUAAGAAGUGGAACAGAUUAUGCAUUUGAUUUUCUUAAAAUGCAUUUUCCUUCUUUUCUAAAUAAAUAUAAACAGAAGCAGUGGCUAACGGGGUUACUCACUGAGGGUGAGUGGAACCAAGACAGACUAAAAAUAAAAAAGCAACAAUCUAAGUUCUCCAGUUCUUGAUGGGUGUGCGAGCAGGGGAGGGUGGUGGCCAGCAUGUAGGCGUGCUUAUGAAGACCACAGCCUGUUUUCUCGUCAGAAUCCACUAGCUUCCACCAAUGAUGAUGGAUUUACGGCUACCUAUCAACUAAAAAAACAGACGUAAGGAACAGAAACAGCAAGAACCAGAAAGAAGACUGGAUAUAGAUAAACACACACAUCUCUUCAGAUGAAUCUACCUUUGUCUUUCCUGCUGUUUUGUCUUUUAUGGGUAUAUGUAAUGUACCCUAUCUAUAAUUAUAUGGAUAUGUAUCGGGAAGAGAAUGAGGCAGCUAGAGAAAGAAGAGUGUCUGACUCUUUUGGGACUUGAUGGGAAAGGAAAUUGAUGUUAGUAGUUACUGUUCCUUAAAGCCAUCAGCUUUGUUUUUCAAAGUAUGGUUUCCUGGUAAAGGAUCCUUUGCCUGUAAUGUGAGUGAAUCACUCAUCUUAUUUUAAUAAAAAUGUGAACCAAA